UGGGUAAAACAAUGAAAAGUAGUUGUGUAAAAAAAAAAGGCGAAAACUUCAAAUACCACUCUUGUGAUAUCGUAUUUUUUCACUUUAAUACUCUUUGGUUUAAAGUGUAUCAAUUUAGUACUCUGUGGUUUCUUACUUUCUUACUCUAGUAUCCUGUGGUUUAAAGUGCAUCAAUCUAGUACGCUGUGGUUUUAUUUUUUUCUUUUUGUCGGCUCCUCUGUUAAUAUUUUGUUAAAUUAUAUACAAAAAAUUUUAGAUAUCCUAUCUAGGUUUANCUCCUCUGUUAAUAUUUUGUUAAAUUAUAUACAAAAAAUUUUAGAUAUCCUAUCUAGGUUUAUUGAAUAUUUACUUUAGUAUUCUUUAGUUUUAACUUUGUCACUGAUUUUUUUUUCUUCCGUUAAUAUUUCGUUAAAUUAUAUACAAAAAACUUCAGAUACCCUACCUAGGUUUAUCCAAUAUUAACUUUAGUAUCCUUUAAUUUUAACUUUGUCACUAAUUUAACAAAAGAAAUUAGUGAAAUGAAUAAUAAAAAGAGAAAAAUGAAACCAAAGGGUACUAAUUUGAUACACUUUAAACCACAAAGUCUAAAGUGAGAAAGUGCGAAACCACAUAGGCUAACUUGAUACACUUUAAACCACAUGGUACUAAAAUGAGAAAGUAUAAAACUAUAAGGGGGUAUU
This 680-nucleotide long non-coding RNA is filed under the name Ananas comosus (pineapple). RNAcentral's name for it is "long non-coding RNA (ACOM_LNC028450)". Lineage: Eukaryota; Viridiplantae; Streptophyta; Magnoliopsida; Poales; Bromeliaceae. The record is from RNAcentral.